RNAcentral lists this ribosomal RNA (344 nucleotides) under uncultured bacterium. RNAcentral describes it as "bacterial SSU rRNA". It matches the Rfam family "Bacterial small subunit ribosomal RNA", at positions 331 to 690 of the family's 1533-position model. The record is from RNAcentral.
CCAGACUCCUACGGGAGGCAGCCGUGGGGACUCUUGGGCAAUGGGCGCCCGCCUGACCCAGCAACGCCGCGUGCCGGACGAAGGCUUUCGGGUUGUAAACUUCUUUUAAGAGGGAAGAGUAGAAGACGGUCCCUCUUGAAUAAGCCACGGCUAACUACGUGCCAGCAGCCGCGGUCAUACGUAGGUGGCAAGCGUUGGCCGGAUUUACUGGGGGUAAAGGGCGUGUAGCCGGGCCGGCAAGUCAGAUGUGAAAGCCCAAGGCGCAACCGGGGAACGGCAGGGGAAACGGUGGGGCUGGAGGAGCGGAGAGGCAGGCGGAAGGCCUAGGGGAGCGGUGAAAGGCG